This 254-nucleotide ribosomal RNA is filed under the name uncultured bacterium. Its description in RNAcentral is "partial 16S ribosomal RNA". It matches the Rfam family "Bacterial small subunit ribosomal RNA", at positions 524 to 776 of the family's 1533-position model. The record is from RNAcentral.
GACGUAGGGUGCAAGCGUUUGUCCGGAUUUAUUGGGCGUAAAGAGCUCGUAGGCGGCUUGUUGCGUCGACUGUGAAAACCCGCGGCUUAACCGCGGGCUUGCAGUCGAUACGGGCAGGCUAGAGUUCGGUAGGGGAGACUGGAAUUCCUGGUGUAGCGGUGAAAUGCGCAGAUAUCAGGAGGAACACCGAUGGCGAAGGCAGGUCUCUGGGCCAUAACUGACGCUGAGAAGCGAAAGCAUGGGGAGCGAACAGG